This 500-nucleotide ribosomal RNA is filed under the name uncultured bacterium. RNAcentral's name for it is "bacterial SSU rRNA". It matches the Rfam family "Bacterial small subunit ribosomal RNA", at positions 7 to 494 of the family's 1533-position model. The record is from RNAcentral.
GAGAGUUUGAUCCUGGCUCAGGAUGAACGCUAGCUACAGGCUUAACACAUGCAAGUCGAGGGGAAACGAUAUUGGAAGCUUGCUUCCGAUAGGCGUCGACCGGCGCACGGGUGAGUAACGCGUAUCCAACCUGCCCAUCACUUGGGGAUAACCUUGCGAAAGUAAGACUAAUACCCAAUGACGUCUCUAGAAGACAUCUGAAAGAGAUUAAAGAUUUAUCGGUGAUGGAUGGGGAUGCGUCUGAUUAGCUUGUUGGCGGGGUAACGGCCCACCAAGGCGACGAUCAGUAGGGGUUCUGAGAGGAAGGUCCCCCACAUUGGAACUGAGACACGGUCCAAACUCCUACGGGAGGCAGCAGUGAGGAAUAUUGGUCAAUGGACGAGAGUCUGAACCAGCCAAGUAGCGUGCAGGAAGACGGCCCUAUGGGUUGUAAACUGCUUUUAUAAGGGAAUAAAGUGAGUCUCGUGAGACUUUUUGCAUGUACCUUAUGAAUAAGGACC